Molecule: ribosomal RNA, 486 nt
Filed under: uncultured bacterium
Lineage: Bacteria
Description: bacterial SSU rRNA
Rfam family: Bacterial small subunit ribosomal RNA
Source: RNAcentral
GACGAACGCUGGCGGCGUGCCUAACACAUGCAAGUCGAGCGAGAAUCUUUUAAAUGAUCCCUUCGGGGUGAAAUUAAAAGAGGAAAGCGGCGGACGGGUGAGUAACGCGUGAGAAACCUGCCUCUCAGUGGGGGACAACAGUUGGAAACGACUGCUAAUACCGCAUAAGCGCACAGUACCGCAUGGUACAGUGUGAAAAAACUCCGGUGGUAUGAGAUGGACCCGCGUCUGAUUAGCUAGUUGGUGAGGUAACGGCUCACCAAGGCAACGAUCAGUAGCCGGCCUGAGAGGGUGAACGGCCACAUUGGGACUGAGACACGGCCCAAAACUCCUACGGGAGGCAGCAGUGGGGAAUAUUGCACAAUGGGGGAAACCCUGAUGCAGCGACGCCGCGUGAGUGAAGAAGAUUUCGGUAUGUAAAAGCUCUAUCAGCAGGGAAGAAAAUGACGGUAACCUGACUAAGAAGCAACCGGGCUAAAUAACGUG